AUUCAGAUAGCUUAAAUUUAAAGCCUGGUAUUGAAGAUACCAUGAUAAGAUUAUCUUUCUGGGUA
Molecule: transfer RNA, 65 nt
Filed under: Acanthaspis pedestris
Lineage: Eukaryota; Metazoa; Arthropoda; Insecta; Hemiptera; Reduviidae
Description: tRNA-Phe
Source: RNAcentral